AUUUUCCGCAAUGGGCGAAAGCCUGACGGAGCAAUACCGCGUGAGGGAUGAAGGCCUUUGGGUUGUAAACCUCUUUUAUCAAGGAGGAAGUUCUGACGUGUACUUGAUGAAUAAGCAUCGGCUAACUCCGUGCCAGCAGCCGCGGUAAGACGCAGGAUGCAAGUGUUAUCCGGAAUCACUGGGCGUAAAGCGUCUGUAGGUGGUCUAAAAAGUCCACUGUUAAAAAUUGAAGCUUAACUUCAAAGAUGCCGUGGAAACUUUUAAACUUGAGUAUGAUAGGGGUAGAGGGAAUUUCCAGUGGAGCGGUGAAAUGCGUAGAUAUUGGAAAGACCACCAAUGGCGAAGGCACUCUACUGGGCCAUUACUGACACUGAGAGACGAAAGCUAGGGGAGCGAAU
RNAcentral lists this ribosomal RNA (398 nucleotides) under uncultured bacterium. RNAcentral's name for it is "bacterial SSU rRNA". It matches the Rfam family "Bacterial small subunit ribosomal RNA", at positions 361 to 773 of the family's 1533-position model. The record is from RNAcentral.